RNAcentral lists this ribosomal RNA (433 nucleotides) under uncultured bacterium. RNAcentral describes it as "partial 16S ribosomal RNA". It matches the Rfam family "Bacterial small subunit ribosomal RNA", at positions 29 to 507 of the family's 1533-position model. The record is from RNAcentral.
AACGAACGCUGGCGGCAUGCCCAACACAUGCAAGUCGAACGAGACCUUCGGGUCUAGUGGCGCACGGGUGCGUAACGCGUGGGAACCUGCCCUUAGGUUCGGAAUAACUCCCCGAAAGGGGUGCUAAUACCGGAUAAUGUCUUCGGACCAAAGAUUUAUCGCCUUUGGAUGGGCCCGCGUUGGAUUAGCUAGUUGGUAGGGUAAAAGCCUACCAAGGCGACGAUCCAUAGCUGGUCUGAGAGGAUGAUCGGCCACACUGGGACUGAGACACGGCCCAGACUCCUACGGGAGGCAGCAGUGGGGAAUAUUGGACAAUGGGCGAAAGCCUGAUCCAGCAAUGCCGCGUGAGUGAUGAAGGCCUUAGGGUUGUAAAGCUCUUUUACCCGGGAUGAUAAUGACAGUACCGGGAGAAUAAGCUCCGGCUAACUCCGUG